RNAcentral lists this ribosomal RNA (467 nucleotides) under uncultured bacterium. RNAcentral's name for it is "bacterial SSU rRNA". It matches the Rfam family "Bacterial small subunit ribosomal RNA", at positions 329 to 794 of the family's 1533-position model. The record is from RNAcentral.
GACCAGACUCCUACGGGAGGCAGCAGUGAGGAAUAUUGGUCAAUGGGCGCGAGCCUGAACCAGCCAAGUCGCGUGAGGGAAGACGGUCCUAUGGAUUGUAAACCUCCUUUGUCGGGGAACAAAGGCGCCCACGGGUGGGCGGAUGAGUGUACCCGAAGAAAAAGCAUCGGCUAACUCCGUGCCAGCAGCCGCGGUAAUACGGAGGAUGCGAGCGUUAUCCGGAUUUAUUGGGUUUAAAGGGUGCGUAGGCGGAUUUUUAAGUCAGCGGUAAAAUGUCCGGGCUCAACCCGGGCCGGCCGUUGAAACUGGGGAUCUUGAGUGGGCGAGAAGUAUGCGGAAUGCGUGGUGUAGCGGUGAAAUGCAUAGAUAUCACGCAGAACUCCGAUUGCGAAGGCAGCAUACCGGCGGCGAUCUGACGCUGAGGCACGAAAGCGUGGGUAUCGAACAGGAUUAGAUACCCCAGUAGG